RNAcentral lists this ribosomal RNA (785 nucleotides) under uncultured bacterium. RNAcentral describes it as "bacterial SSU rRNA". It matches the Rfam family "Bacterial small subunit ribosomal RNA", at positions 1 to 751 of the family's 1533-position model. The record is from RNAcentral.
CUUUUUCAGGUCUCGCGAAUGCAUCCAAGAUGUUUAAUGAUCAUGGCUCAGAAUCACGCUGGCGUUAGUAGCCUAACACAUGCAAGUCGAACGAGAAAGUGGAGCAAUCCAUGAGUAAAGUGGCGAACGGGUGAGUAACACGUGACUACCUACCCUUGAGUGGGGGAUAACCCCGGGAAACCGGGGCUAAUACCGCAUAAUCUCGCAAGAGCAAAUGCGCAAGCAGCUUAAGGAGGGGGUCGCGGCUGAUUAGCUGGUUGGUGAGGUAACGGCUCACCAAGGCGAUGAUCAGUAGCCGGCCUGAGAGUGGCGCACGGCCACACUGGAACUGAAACACGGUCCAGACUCCUACGGGAGGCAGCAGUGGGGAAUUUUGCGCAAUGGGGGAAACCCUGACGCAGCAGCGCCGCGUGGAGGAUGAAGUUCCUUGGAACGUAAACUCCUUUCGACCGGGACGAUAAUGACGGUACCGGUAGAAGAAGCCCCGGCUGACUUCGUGCCAGCAGCCGCGGUAAUACGAGGGGGGCAAGCGUUGUUCGGAAUUAUUGGGCGUAAAGGGCGCGUAGGCGGUGCGGUAAGUCACCUGUGAAAACUCCCCGGCUCAACCUGGGGAAGCCUGGCAGAGCAGAAAACUCGCCCGNUGCUUGGGANCUNUUUGGGGACANAGGGUCCNUUGGAAAUUCCCCCGGGUGGUNAGCGGNUGAAANUGCGUAGAAUAUUCCGGGAAGGGAACACACCUGUGUGGCGAAAAAGCGGGGCCCUGGGACCUUAACUUGAAGCUGAUG